UGCCAGCCGCCGCGGUAAUACGAAGGGACCUAGCGUAGUUCGGAUUUAUUGGGCGUAAAGGGCGCGUAGGUGGCGAUGAUAGUCAGAUGUGAAAUUCCGGGACUCAAUCCCGGAGCUGCAUUUGAAACUUCAUUGCUUGAGGACAGGCGGAGAAAGCGGAAUUCCACGUGUAGCGGUGAAAUGCGUAGAUACGUGGAAGAACACCGGUGGCGAAGGCGGCUUUCUAGCUUGUUCCUGACACUGAGGCGCGAAAGCGUGGGGAGCGAACAGGAUUAGAUA
This 279-nucleotide ribosomal RNA is filed under the name uncultured bacterium. RNAcentral's name for it is "partial 16S ribosomal RNA". It matches the Rfam family "Bacterial small subunit ribosomal RNA", at positions 506 to 784 of the family's 1533-position model. The record is from RNAcentral.